RNAcentral lists this ribosomal RNA (449 nucleotides) under Pseudomonas antarctica. RNAcentral describes it as "bacterial SSU rRNA". It matches the Rfam family "Bacterial small subunit ribosomal RNA", at positions 324 to 765 of the family's 1533-position model. Lineage: Bacteria; Pseudomonadati; Pseudomonadota; Gammaproteobacteria; Pseudomonadales; Pseudomonadaceae. The record is from RNAcentral.
ACACGGUCCAGACUCCUACGGGAGGCAGCAGUGGGGAAUAUUGGACAAUGGGCGAAAGCCUGAUCCAGCCAUGCCGCGUGUGUGAAGAAGGUCUUCGGAUUGUAAAGCACUUUAAGUUGGGAGGAAGGGCAGUUACCUAAUACGUGAUUGUUUUGACGUUACCGACAGAAUAAGCACCGGCUAACUCUGUGCCAGCAGCCGCGGUAAUACAGAGGGUGCAAGCGUUAAUCGGAAUUACUGGGCGUAAAGCGCGCGUAGGUGGUUUGUUAAGUUGGAUGUGAAAUCCCCGGGCUCAACCUGGGAACUGCAUUCAAAACUGACUGACUAGAGUAUGGUAGAGGGUGGUGGAAUUUCCUGUGUAGCGGUGAAAUGCGUAGAUAUAGGAAGGAACACCAGUGGCGAAGGCGACCACCUGGACUAAUACUGACACUGAGGUGCGAAAGCGUGGG